Molecule: ribosomal RNA, 292 nt
Filed under: uncultured bacterium
Lineage: Bacteria
Description: partial 16S ribosomal RNA
Rfam family: Archaeal small subunit ribosomal RNA
Source: RNAcentral
GUGCCAGCGCCGCGGUAAUACCGGCAGCUCAAGUGAUGUCCCAUAUUAUUGGGCCUAAAGCGUCCGUAGCUGGCCGAACAAGUCCGUCGGGAAAUCCACGUGCUUAACGCGUGGGCGACCGGCGGGAACUGUCCGGCUUGGGGCCGGAGGACCCGAGGGGUACGUCCGGGGUAGGAGUGAAAUCCCGUAAUCCUGGACGGACCGCCGGUGGCGAAAGCGCCUCGGGAAGACGGACCCGACAGUGAGGGACGAAAGCCAGGGUCUCCAACCGGAUUAGAAACCCUAGUAGUCC